Molecule: ribosomal RNA, 403 nt
Filed under: uncultured bacterium
Lineage: Bacteria
Description: partial 16S ribosomal RNA
Rfam family: Bacterial small subunit ribosomal RNA
Source: RNAcentral
AUUGAAAGCUGGCGGCAGGCCUAACACAGGCAAGGCGAGCGAGCGGCGGACGGGUGAGUAAUGUAUGGGGACUGCCCGAUAGAGGGGGAUAACUACUGGAAACGGUGGCUAAUACCGCAUACUAUCGGAUAACCCAUAUGGGAUUAGCUAGUAGGUGGUGUAAAGGCUAACCAAGGCGACGAUCUCUAGCUGGUCUGAUAGGAUGAUCAGCCACAAUGGGAGUGAGACCGGGCCAAGACUCCUACGGAUGCAGUAUAGGGGAAUAUGGCACGAUGGGCGCAAGCCUGAUUCAGACAGGCCGCGUGUAUGAAGAAGGGCUGAGGGUUGUAAAGGACUUUCAGCGGUGAGGCGUUCCCCGCAGAAUAAGCACCGGCUAACUCCGUGUCAGCAGCCGCGGUAAUUC